UCCCCUGUAGCUCAACUGGCAGAGCAUUCGGCUGUUAACCGAACGGUUGAAGGUUCGAGUCCUUCCGGGGGAG
RNAcentral lists this transfer RNA (73 nucleotides) under Mycobacterium kyorinense. RNAcentral's name for it is "tRNA-Asn". It matches the Rfam family "tRNA". From Rfam's summary of the family: Transfer RNA (tRNA) molecules are approximately 80 nucleotides in length. Their secondary structure includes four short double-helical elements and three loops (D, anti-codon, and T loops). The record is from RNAcentral. Lineage: Bacteria; Bacillati; Actinomycetota; Actinomycetes; Mycobacteriales; Mycobacteriaceae.